RNA transcript from Aethina tumida (small hive beetle), 1136 nucleotides. RefSeq lists it as uncharacterized. The transcript has 6 exons. NCBI's taxonomy places the organism in Eukaryota, Metazoa, Arthropoda, Insecta, Coleoptera, Nitidulidae. The record is from RefSeq and is a predicted model, not a curated record.
UAGUAAUCAGUGUGAACCUCUAUUACAGCUAGUGACUUUCAAAAUGAGAACAAUCUUUGUGGUGUUAAGAAAAUAGCUCAAAAUUAAACAAACUCGUACUACGUCUGAUGUGGUUGGCCUAAGAAAUAGCACAGUCAAUUAUAUUUACGUGUUGUGACGCUAUUUAACUAAUACUCUUAAUAGAAGACUUUUUUGAAAAAACACACUCAAUUGAAAAUACAAUGAGAAAAUGAUGACAAGAUUUAAUUUACGUAGAAAUUAUUUUUUUAGUAGGUACAAAAUAAUGGGAGAAAGAAUGUAGUGUAAUUAUAUCAAAUAAAAUGUAAAAUAUUUUUAUUGCAUUUAAUAAAAGGGAUGCGUUUCCUAAUUAACAUAGUAAUAUUUCUCUGGCCACCACGGCGUAUAUAAAUUAACAAAGAAUAUUCCCUUAUUUGCUUAAUUAAUUUAUAGAUUUUGGUUUUACUACAAGCGAAUAUUGGAUUAUCGUUCAAGAUAAUCACAAAUAAUUCGCGAUUGGAUUGUACUAAAACCAGAGUAAUUUGCAUUGAUGAUAGUUCCUUUACUACUUGCAGUGUCUUCAUGAAUUCAAUUAUAUUAAGCAGCGAAAUUAUUAAUUGUCCCCCUGAACACAUCUGUAGGGAAUCAAGUAACGAUCCAUGUAUUCGAACAGAAGUUAUUUCUACUAAAGAACCUACAGAAAGUUCUAAAUCAGUAAGAUCCUUUAAUACUGAAAUAACUAUAAAAGAUUCGAGUCAACCAAGAAGUUUUGCAAUUGAAAUAACGCAAACAGAUAUGACAACUGAAACUGCUUAUUCUAGUGACUCUCCAGACACUAAAAAUUCUGAAACACCAAAGGACAAACCACAAUGCUAUCAGGAGGGAAACUUGCCAGGAAAGACAUGUAACACAUAUUAUAAAUGUGUUUUCAAGAUUACACUAUUUUUCUUUGGACAAUGGUCCGCAGAAGAAGAAAAAUGUGAUGAUAAUCAGCAUUUUGAUAAGUCUUUGUCAAAAUGUGUUGAAGGAGCUUGUAAAUAAAUAUUAAGGCUUUUUACGAUAAAUAAAUUGUUUGAAAACAUUUAAAAACUGUAUACUUAUAUAAAAAACAUACUGCUACAUCUUAAAGUUCAUUUAAA